Molecule: long non-coding RNA, 29406 nt
Filed under: Jatropha curcas
Lineage: Eukaryota; Viridiplantae; Streptophyta; Magnoliopsida; Malpighiales; Euphorbiaceae
Description: long non-coding RNA (JCUR_LNC002453)
Source: RNAcentral
AAAAUUACAAAUUUAAAAUGGUUGAAGUGAAAUUAAUAAAAGAACAUUAAGAAAAAUCUCAAGCAUAUAAGACUAACUAUAAGAAGCAACUAAUUAGUAAUUACUGAUCAAUUUCUCUAUAAGCACAAAAACAAAGAUAAUAAAAAUCAAACCAGAAACAACAUAUAUAAUUUAUUUACCAAACUGCUUCACUUGGCCAUACAAUAUGUAUAUACUUCCCAGCUAAACAUGCAUAUACCAUAAUUAGAUUCAUAAGAAAAAAGAAAACAAACGUACAUAUAUAAAUGACAGACAAUUGAUAAUCUGACUCGCCCUUGUGAAAGUUUCCUCCAAGCUUCACUCUUGCAUAUAAAGCUAGCAACGAGAGAUUUCAAAAGGAAAUGAAAAUGCCAAAGGAUCGAAGUUGCCCUAUAAGAAGACAAACCGCCCUUAAAUAAGGCGAUUCAGGUCCAACCACACCCUCCCAUUACAAUUUUCUACAAUACUUCUACGAAGAAUCACAGAAAAUUACUGGGACAGACCGUACAUGCACACACACAGACACACACAAAUAACUUCACAAACACCAAGCCAAGCAGCCGGCCUCCAGCCACCCUAAAGGGGUGGCCGGAGAGAGCCAAGAGAGUCACAUAAUGGGAAGGUGAGUGUUUGUGUGGGAAGAGGGUUUGCAGAUAAAAAUUGAGUUGGUUUUUAUGUUAUCGUGUGUCUGGGUCGUGAGAGCAAUAAAAGGGUGAGAUGACUUAAGUAGAAGUAGUGUUUUAGUGUGUGGUCACUUUUUUGGUUAAAAAGGGAACCAAAAAGAAAAAGUAUAUACAGAGAGAGUGCAAUAGGAACUGCAUGUUUUAGCAUCUUCCCUAGGAUAUGCCAUUGCCACCUUCCAUUCACAACUUCUCCUUUCAUAUAUUAUUAAUCAAUUUCUCCGCUUUAAUUAAUUAAUAAAUUUAAUUUCUCCUUUCAUAAGUUAUCGACCUCUCAUUGCAUCAUUAUAUUAGCUUUAUGAAAUUAAAAUUCAUAUCUAAUUAUGCAGUAAGCGACCUAAAUCCAUGUAAAAGUCAUAAGUGUAAGUUUGAAAUUUAAGAAAUGCACUUGCUGUGAAAGUCAAAAUCUUUACAUUGUAUGAGCCGAAGAGAGAUUAUAUUUUAUAGUUCUACUAAAAAAAACAUAUAUAACACCCCAAGGGGUGAGAUGGGAUAGUAAGAGUCCCUUCUCCCUUAACUAGAGGUCUCAAAUUCUAGUGGACACCCCUUUUAAUAGCUAGAAUUGCUCACUAGAAGCAGGCAGUCACAGACUCAGAAACUGCAAUUAAUUUUAUAAAAAAAGACAUAGAGAUAUUAAUUAGUGGAAAAACUAAAAAAAUAAUAAUAAUAGAAGAAACAAGUAAUACUAUUAUGUUUUUAUGUUCAAGAAAAAUUUAGAUGGAAGCAAUACCAACCCACUAUUAAUAUUGAAUAUUAUUAUAUAUAAGGUACGUCCAAUUCUUUAAAACUCUUUAGCCUUUUCUGGUCAGUAAUUAAGAUUUCAUGUUGUUUGUGACACCAGCAGUAUUAUUCUUUUGUGCUUUCAACAAAGUAGUUAGACAUUGCGUACGUAAUGCUUUUUAAGGAUGUUCUUAAUUCCUUAAUUCUGAAUAGUCAUCCAAUAGUGGUUUACAUGGGUUUGCCUUUGAGGCUCAAAAUGGUUUUAUUUUCAAAUGAAGAAGCAAAUUUGAAUUCUAAAGAUUAAAGAAAGAAAAGAUAAAUUUGUUGUAAUAAAAGAAAAAAAAAAUAAUAAUGAGAAAGAAAAUAGAUUAUGGCAAGAAAAGGAUAGGAGUAAGAGGGUGUAAGAUGAAUAUGAAAAGCAAAUGGUGAAAUUUGGUUGAUAUGUAUUAUGAGUAUCUUGAAAAGGGUGCAUAAGAAUAUUACUUGAUGCCAAAAAUCAUACUAGAAGAAGCUGCCUCCAUGAUCUUUAUUUUGUAUAUUUCUUUUCCAUUUCCAACUACUAUAUAUGUUGUCCGUUAGAAACUUAAUUGCUUCCAUGUGUAACUUUAUAUCUCACCGUUCAUUCAGUGAAACGAUAUUUGUCUAGACUGAAUUCAUGGUUCAGUUACCAAACAAAUCAAUAAAAAUAAAAUUUUUUAAAAAACUAUUUUUAUUUUAUUUUUUUCUCUUGUAUAUGUUAUGAACACUCAUCUUUCAAUAAAAAUUUUUAUUUUAAGCUAAAUAAAAUUGAUUUGAAAUGAAUUUCAAAUUUUUUUUAUAUAAAAGAAGAGGAAAAACACUAAGAACUAUACGGUUUAGAAUAAGCUACGCUUGCAACAUCAUGCGUCAAUCAAGGAAAGAUGCCGGAUGAAACUGAUUAAGAAUAUAUAGAUCCAAAUCAAACAAAUAAGUAAAAUUUGAAAGAUAUAUAUGCACUAAAAUUAGCUUCUCCGAAAACAUGAGAAAUGGUGAUCUCCUCAAAGAGUGGAAAAUAAGAUUGGAUAGAUAUUUUAGAAAUACAUCUUUCAAACUUACCUUAAAAAAUAAAAAGAGAGUUUCAAUUAAUUAACAAAUACAAUGCCGUUAAUACCAAACUUACCUUAAAAAAUAAAAAGAAGGUUCAAAUGAAUUAACAAUACGCGUACGAUGCCGUUAAACGAAUAUAGAAUCUCAAAUAAACGACAGCUCUCCUUUUAUACAGACGAAGGUAAAACCCCGCGAGUCGUUUCUAAAACGACUUGUCUUCUAAAAUAGAGAGGAGAUAAUUAUUCCAAAGUAGACUGAAAUAUCACAGAAUGAGAUCACCAACUUCCAAAUUGAAAAACAACAAAUCAAUGAAAAUCAAAAUUCUAACCUGACAGAAAGGAAAAUUAGCUGCAGACAAUUUUUAUUAACUGAUCUCAAAAUCUGUCAGCUAACCUUUGAAUUUUUAUUUUAUAUCUACAAAAAUGAAAUGUACAUAUAAAGGUAAAAAUUGGAAAAAUCUCCUAAAAUUAAUUAGAACCAUCUCUUUCCAUUAUUAGUUGCCUUAAGCUUCAUCACAAGCUCUUCCCUUUGAGCUUCUACUUCAGCAUAUUUAAGGCUCAUGUUGAAGUAGCGUUCCCUAAGCUCUUUUAACUCUGUCUCCAAUGAUGAUUUUGUUCGUUCAAAUUUUUCUUUUGGAACAACUUCACUUUCUGCUUUUGAUUUUCUUGGUGAUCCUGUUCGACCUUUCCGGCUCUCAGCAGUUAACCUGCAUUCAUGCCAAUUAAAAGGGUGACCCAGUGCACGAAUCCCACAUUUGUGAGCUCGAGAGGCCAUUUUCGUGUGCAAAAAUGUUCUUUAUUUUGAAGAAAUUAAAUGUUAUGUUCAUCUUGCACUCACCUUUUAACCUGAACUUUGAAUGCAUUAUUUGCUUCCAUAGCCUUGGAUAGUUCAUCUUCAAGCACAGGAUUAUCACCCUAUUAUCAUUAACCAACAGAAGUCAAUUCGUUAAUAUCUAAAAACCAAAAGUAAAUGGCCAAAUACUUAAACAGGAAAAAAAAAAAUGAUGCAUGGGCAAAUUUAAAGAAUGUAGCUUCCUGUAGCAAGAUUUUAGUUUUAUGGGUAAAACAGAGGAGAGAAUACAUACUUCUUUUUUCCUCGGAUUACGCUGUUUUUCCUUCAAUAUGAUUAAUUCUUCUUCAAGAAUUUGAAUUCUUCUUGUGCUUUUUUCUUUCACCUCCUCCAGUUGUUGUAUCUGCUGUUGAAGUUGCUUAUUUGCUCUCUUGAUAUGGUUGAGCUCAUUUUUAACAUCUGCAUCUUGUUCACAUAAGGACUCUUUUGCAAUUAGUUCACUCUCCAACUUCUGAAUCUUUUCUUCUAAGGAAAGAUUAUCUUCUUUGAAUUCUUCUAGUUCAGAAAUAGUCUUCUGCAAGUCAGUGAUUUUGUCGAUAAACAAAUUCUUCUCUAUAUUCAACUCUUUACAGUCUUCAGCUUUUAGAUUCAAUGAAAUUUCUAGUUUCUCUUUCUCAGUCUUGAUCGCAUUCACUUCAUUCUUCAAAGCCAACACUUCAUCCUGAAGGGUUCCAAUUUUCAGCAACUGCGCCUUCAAAUUGGUAGAUUCUUCAAUAAGUUGUUGCUUCUCGUACUCAGAUACUGUAAGCUUUAGCUCAACACCAUUGAGAGCGGUCUUAAAUUUUUCUUCACACAAUUUGUAAUUCUCCAACAACUUCAACAUCUUUCCAUUAUCAGCCUUUAGCAUUUCUUGGUUUUGUUUCGAGGAAGCAAGCUCAUCCAUCAAGUCUUGAAUCUUCUCCUUGGAUUCUGUCUGUGAGGCAUGGAGUUCUGAUUCUAGCUUAGUUAUAUUUUUGCGUAAACUAGAUGCUUCAUUCGCAGAAUCACUAGCUAUUCUAUCUCUUUCUUCUUCAGUUACAGAGAGUUUCUUGUAAAGUUCUCCAACUUCUCUUUGAAGAUUCUCAACUUGAACCAUCUUCUCGAAAUGCAUCUGGUCUAAUUCACUAAGUUUCUUCUUCUGUUUCUCAUUUUCCUUGAGAAGUGCAUCUAUUUCCGAAGUCAGGCUUCUCUCCUUUGAGGCACUAUCUUCUAGUAAUGAAGAAAUGUUUUCUUGCAAAACAUUUACUCUUUUGGAGCAAUCUGCAAAAUUUCUGUGCAAAUCUUUCAAUUUCAUCUCCAAGCGAUCACAAUGCCCUUUCAGUUCUAACUUCUGCUUUUUCAACUCUUCAUUUGAUUUCUGAAGUGAACUGCUUUCUUCCAUAAGAUCAUGCAUUUCUUCUAGCUUCUUCUCCGCAUCCAUUUUCUGAGUCUCCAUCUCAUUUCUCAACUUUGCAGUCUCAUCUUGAAACUUGACUACAUUAAAUUUGGAAUCCUGUAGCUCCAAUACCAUUGACUUGUUCGCAUCUGUUAAGUUUCUUAUCUGAGUUUCCAAGCCAGAUAUGCAAGCUAAUAGGUCUCCAUUUUCCUGCUCUAGUUCAGAUAAAUGGAUCUUGAAAUUUUGCUUGCUACUUUUCCUCUCUAGAGUUUUGUUGGCAGAAACAUUAGUAUCCACACUGCUGCCAAGCACCAUCAAAUCCUUUCGCAAGUCAUUCAAGCAUUUCGUAGCAAUAUCAUUUUCUCUAAUGACAAUUUCCACAUUUUCCUCUAGUUGGCUUUUCUCUCUUUGAAGGACAGAGAGCUUGUCUUCCAAUUUCCUUUGGUAAUUUUUAAGAUUUCCAAUUUCUUCUUCUUUUGACAAUAAACCAGUCUCAAGUCUUUCUAUCUCCUCUCUUUUUUCACUCAGUUCAGUAACUGUACUUUCCAACUCAUAUUUCAGAUUCUCAAGUUCUUGAAUUGAAAGAUUGUAGUCAUCUUCAAUCUCCUUAACAACUUUCCUCCUGAUUUUCUCUUCAAGGUCGUGAAUUUGGGAUUCAUGCUCACUUACUUGUGCAGAAUUGUUCCUCAUUUCCUUAAUCUUGACUAAGAGCUCAAGGUUUUCUUCUGUUAGCUCUUGGCAAUCACUUUCUACUUCCUGCAGUUUUGCUUUCAGUGUUUCAAUUUCUGUUAUCAGAACUCUCUCACUUCCAUCUAUUUCCUCCAAUGCUUUUUCCAGUUCUUGCACUUGAGCUUGCAAAUUCUUUUCUGAUUCUUGCAAUUUUUGCAUCUGCAACACAUUAACCUGUAUAGAACUUUCCAUGUCACUGAAUUUUGAUUGUAGAGUUGAAAGAUUCUCUAUUUCAGCUUUCUGCUUUUCCACAGUCUCUUCAAGCUCCUGAAGAACCGAAACAAGCUCAACAUUAGACUCCUGACUCCUAUUCAACAGCAAACUGAGAUUAGCAGUAGACUCUUUUUGAAACUUAAUCUCAUCUUCCAAUUCUUUUAUAACAUUGGUUACUCCUUCAUCUUGAAAUGUUGAAUCCUCCAAGCCUCCUGCUUUCACCUUUGACUUCUCUAGCAACAGCUUCAGCUGUUCAACUUCCUUUUGCAAUCCAUCGCGUUCUGCAUAUGCUGCAGAAAGCUGCAUAUCCAAAUUUACCUUAUAUUUGGACUGCUCAGUAUGUUCUUUCCUUAACAUUUCCAAAUCAAGCAUUGCUUUCCUUGCAUUCUUCUCCCACUUCUUAGCUUCGCUACGAAGAUCUUUGAUGGUAGCUUCUGCAGCUUCAAGUAGGCUUUUAGAUGAACCUGAAAUUCUCAAAGAUUGUGCAGCAAAUUCUUGAGGGUCAUCCGCAGAAAGGUUUUCUGAAUGCGUAAUCCGCGAGUUAAAUGAUGAAUUAUCUGAUUGAGAAGCAUCUUCAGCAUUAUAACUUCCUGGAGGUACACUAUUCUGGGAGCUAGUUGAUUCUUGUCUUGCAAUGAGGGUAUGUUCACCACUUGGAAAAAAACUCUCUGUGCCAAUGGAAUUUUCUGCCGAGUUAUAGCUAUGCUGUGAAGAACUAGACAAACCUGCCUCUUCUUGAAGUACACCUCCCUCUCCCUUGAACCAAAAAGGAAAAACACACACACACACACACACAUACAUGAGAAGCAAAACAAUUUCAGUAUUUCAUAUACUAGUAACAAAAAUAUGUUCUGCAAACCAAUGAGCUUUGAUUCAGCGGUAGCGGAGUUGUUUAUAGGACUAUGAGGCUGUAGGUUUAAACCUCAAUUCAGAGACUAGUUGUAAUCAAACAAAAAACAAAAAGUUGCCAUUUUGAGAAACAUGCAGCAAAAUUAAAGCGAAAAUGUGAUCAUACCUUCGUUCCAUUGUCUCCUUGAUGUGCAGAGCCUAAAUCUCUACUAGAGUACGAUCUUGCACUCUUUGCUAAUGAAUUAUCAGACUCAUCUGAUUUCAUUUCUGCGUCCUGAGAGUUUGUGUUAAGAUCUUCCGUAUGGGAAUUUGUUUCUUUUGAUUCACUAUCCCUGGAAUUUUGUAUACAGACAAAUUUUUCACCAGGAAACAGUGUAUUAAAAGCUCAAAAGACAGCAAAAUAGAAGGAAAAGACUAAAGUUCCAUCACUUCAUGUACUAACCUAAGAUUUAACUUUGGUGUCAGGCACUGAAUCUUGAGCUGCAAAUCAGAUUAAGAAGACAUAAUUGUGGAGAAUAGAUCUCAGUAUUACAAAUUAUCAGAAAAAAAUAAUCAAUAUAGGUAGCUAGAACACAGUCAUAAAACUUACUUGUAGAAUAGUCCCAUGAUUGCACUUUUUCAAUGGGAAUGAAACUUGAACAGGAUCACUUGAACUCAUAUAUGUUGCCAUGUUAAUUAAAGCUUCUCCAAGAAUGCCUGAUCUAGAUGAUCCCUAUAUAAUGCAAGUUUGAAAUAAUAUUUUGAAAAGAAAGAAAUAGACUCUGAAGAAGAUCGACAAUGGCAAAACAGAAUACAGUCUCUAUAUACCAUGGCAAGAACAAGCUUGUAAAGGCAAUCUUCAAGCUCCUUUGAAGAAGAAGAUUGAACAUGUUGAGGAACCCAAAUAGACUCUGAGACAGUCUCUGUCCAUUGACAAGUACCAGUUCUUGAAGAAGCUUUACUAGACUUUGCAAUUGUUUUUCCAGUCUCUACCGAGAUUAUAGAUACAAAUAACUUGUCCCAUCCUUUUGGCACCUGUCAAAGUAAAACUCAAACAUCAUAAAAACCAUAUUAAUUAAAAAUCUUAAAGUGGGUUUUGUUUAUUAACUAAUGAUAAUUACCUGUAAUGCUUUAAAUUGAGAAAACUUGAAAUCAAUUCUUUCUCCUGACUUUGCUGCCUUAUUCUUGUGCAACCUGAACAUUUUCCCUUCUCUCUGUCCUUUUUUUUUUUUUCUUGUUCUUGUUCAAACAGUGUACAUAUGAUAUGACAAAUUCAAAGAUAAUUAACAAGAAGAAGCUUAAUUACCACAUAAUAAUUACAAUUAGCAGGACAAGAAGAGACAGACAGACAGAGAGAGAGGAUUAGCUAAGUGGUCAUUGUAGAGAAUGGUGAUAUUUUAUGUCCUACCAACUUUAGGCGCUACUUACGUUUGUUUGUUAUGGAAAAGAUAGAGGAUCGAGAGAGAGAUGCAUGGGAUUUUAUGAUUGUCCGGGUAUCAUACGCUGGGUCGUCAACUAUAAAACGGCAACACAAAAGCCGAGUCUAACUCUUACUAAUCCUAACUACUCGCUACCCAGCACCCAAAGCAGGCUUUUUGACCCGUCACCAUGCUUGCUAUUUCCUCAAAGAUUGAAAAAUAACUCCUAAAUAUUUUUUAAUGAAAUAUCUAGGAGUUAUUUGUAAGAUCAAAAUUUAUAAUAAUUAUUUAGUAAUGAAAUCAAAUGAAUUUAGUAAGUUCAAAAUUUUUAUAACGUAAGAAUUUUGUUUUUAUUUUCUGGCUUCGAAUCAAAUUUAAAUUCUUAAAUCCUUAACCCAUAUAAUUUAAUGAUAUUUGAACUCCGCUUAGAAAAGAGUAUUUUUCUAACAUGAAUUUAAUAUGAGCGGUUCAACACAUUGAUCAUUAAUGUUACAAGUUUGAUAUUCAUAUACAGAAACAUUUUUAUUAGGAGCGCUUCAACCUUUAAUAAAUCGACCCGGCGCGAACAAGAAAUAGUUAAGUUUUAUACAUCAUUAAAUAAUCGUGGAUCUUUUAUGAAGAAUUCUAGACUUCGUUUGCUAAAAUUUUGUAUAUAUUAGUCAUAAAUAUAGUCUAAAAAAAUAUUUAUGGGAAUGAAUCAAGAAUAUUUAAGGAAUAAAUGUGCUAGGAUAAAUAAUAUUUUUAUUUGGAUUUAUAGAUAUAAAAAAAUAUAUUUAGACCAUUUAAACUAAGGGUGCGCUGUCUCCACCCAAGAAUAGAUACUUACUAUGAGUUGUUGGUAUCAAUUUUGGCGAUGAGUUAUAUUGUUAGAUCACCAAUCUUUGCGGCUGUCUUUUUCUACUUUGUGCUUUACACGGUUAAAGCACAUAGAUACAGUUAUAGGUAGUGUAGUUUUAAAUUUAAUGGUUCCAUAAUAUUAAUUUUAUACAAGAUGGAUAUUUGUAUAAUUUUUUGCGCAAAUUGAUUAGUUAAAUAUAUAGAAACGACGUCGACGGAUUCUCACAUUCUUAUUGACAAUCUGAUUUGAAUAAGUGGAUUAAUUAUGACAUGUCAUAUCACAUAAUUGUGCUAAAAAUAAAUAAAAAAAAUUGGUGAAUGUGGGCAAUACUUUUCUAAAGUAAGGAUCAGCAGAGUUACCAAAUGGACUAUUUACCUGUUGAAUGAGCUCAAAAAUUCUCUCAUAGCUUUACCUGACAAUAUAUAUAAUUUUGCGGGAAAAACAGAUUUAAUUCAUUCUUUAGCUCCUAGGCCAUUCCAUAACCCAUUUAUGGCAAAAUAGGCCCCCAUUAAUAUCACUUCAUUGCCAACAGCUAAUUGAUUUACAGUUGCUGGCCCAGGCCCAGGCCCAUUAUUGAUUGACCCUCCAUCAUUUAUUCCUAUUCAAUUUUAAAAUUGUAUUAAGUUAGAUACAUUUCAAUGUAACUCCUCAUUUUUUUGGGAGGUGCAACCAAAACUGUGAAUUUAAAGUUCUGGUUCUGGUUUUUCAUUUUAAAACUAAACUGACAAUUUGGAUUUGAAAUAUAAAAAUUUUUAUUUUUAUUUUUAUAAUAAUUAUACUUUCUAAAAUAAUAAAAUUUUACUCCCUAAUUUUUAUUUUUUUUUUCAACCUUUAGUUCUAGCUCCAAUACCAUUUCUUACCAUGUUAAGCAAAUUGAAGAUGAUAAUUUGGGAGCAAAAUGAGCUAAUGAUAUUAAUUAAUAAUAAAUAAAGAAAAUAUUUACUAGAUUAUAAUGAUUUUCCAUUAUGGGUUACACACAAAAACAUUUCACUCACUCAUAAUACAUCAAGUGCAACUACCUUCAAUUUCUUUUGAACAUUGAUAUUAUAUAUGUUUAUUAAUUUGCAUUUGUGUGCAUGUGCGAGUAUUGUGAACUUAUAAACUUUUUUCCUCCAAAUUCAUACAUUACUUUUAUCUUGACCUUGUUGGUUCAUGACAUCUUUUAUUAAGAGUGACAAGUUAAAGUGAGAAGAUCCACCAAAUUCCAUAGCAUUAUUUGCCAUUUCUCCAAGUUCACAUGCUCUCUUCCUUCUCUUUUCCCCUUCUUCUCCACCAUCCAUUAAGCUACUCACAGCCAUUUCCACUUUUUCUUUCUUCACUAAAACUCCAGCUUUCUCUUCCUCUCCCCAUCUCACAGGAACCUCAACUCCAACUCUAACUCCAAUCUUUAAAAUCUCCACAAUCAGUUUCUCAUUAAGAAAUUGCUCAGCAAAUAAAGGCCAAGUAAUUAAUGGCACACCAGAGCAAAUACCUUCUAUUGUUGAAUUCCAACCACAAUGAGUUAAAAACCCUCCAAUUGAAGGAUGUGACAGUAUAAGAACUUGUGGAGACCAACCCUUUAUCAACAAUCCUCUUCCUUUAAUUCUUUCUUCAAAAUUUUCUUUCUUGAACCAUUCUUCUAAUUCAAAAGAUUUCUCUCCUGUUUUUGCUACCCAAAUGAAAGGUUGGUUAGAUGCUUCUAACCCUAACCCUAAUUCUAUCAAUUGUGAUGGUUCUAGUCUACACAAACUACCAAGACAAGCAUAAAUGACUGACCUUGGUUUCUUUGAGUCGAGAAAUUCUAAGCAUUGUUUCUCAUCGAUUGAAGCUUUAUUUCCUCUUUCCAACUUAUCUAACCUUUUCUUAUUACAUAAUGAAACCGGUCCAAUGCACCAUACCUUCUUCUUUAUCGCUUGUUGGUAUAAAUCCCGGCACCCAUUUUCAAGCUCGUCAAAACUAUUUACCACAACACCAUAAUCCGUUGAUUCAGCUUCUUGCAUCUUGCUUCGGAGGUCAUCCAAAUCCGGUAAGCUAACGAAGGAUCCCGGAAGUUGACAUCUUGUGAUAGUGAACUUUUCUGGCAUUCCAGGUACCUCAAAAGGUUCGGUAUCUGAAGAGACCGAAAGAUGUGCAUUGUGCAAUCUUAUAUUAUGAGAGCUCAGAAGAGAAAAGGAACCCAUUCCAUGAAAAACUAAUCGGGGAACGUUGAAUCUUUGAGCAGUUCUUGAUGUCCAAGAAAGAUAUUUAUCUGAAAUAAUGCAAUUUAUAGGAGGUUUCGUGUUUUGAAGAAUGUUUUCUAAUGGUUCUUGAAGUUUAGCAAGUGCAGUAUAGAAUUUCUUGAUUAAGUUUCUUGAGGGAAGAGUGUCAAGAUUUUCAUAGCCUACAGGGAGACCAACUUCUUGACAAGGAAAUGGGAUUUGUACAAGAUUGAUGGAAAGGUUUGAUUCUUUAUUUGCUCUAUAAAUGACUCUUUCAAAUCUUGAAGCAUUGAAAGGAGUCGUUAUUAGGGUAACAAUAACUCCACGCUCUGCAAUAAGUCUGGCCAUAUCUAUUACAGGUAUCAUAUGACCUUGUGCCAUCAGAGGUAUUAGGAGAAAAUGAGGUUGGCUAGCCAUUGGAGCUAUUUGCAAUAAAAGUGGUAAUGCAAUUGUUAGAUUUUGGUGAGUUUACUACUACUAAUAAUAAUAUAUUAUAAUUGGGUAGUAGAGAGUAUUUAUUAUAGGUUAUGCAUAUGUUUAUAUGCCUAGAGAGCAAUUGGCCGUUUCUGUGUGAUUUGUGUCAUAGCGUCAAGGUCUUAUAUUUGAGCUGGACUUUGAAUAAGUCUAUAUAUACAUAAAGAGAUAGUAAAGAAAAAAAAUUACUAGUUAGAAUUAGUCUAUCGGUUACAACCUGACUGGACUCGAUUUCAUGUUGAUAAAGCCAAUGCAGGUAAAUUUAUGUUGUAUUUAUUUGAAUAAGUCAAUGCAUAUGCCUUUAGAUUAACAUUUGUUUAUAUUAGAUUUAUUAUAGAUUUUCAAAAAAUAAGAUAAUAUAUUAUGCGGAUUGCCAAAAAUGCAUCUUUACCAUUUGGCAACAGUUCAUUUAUUAAGAAAUUGUAGGAAAUAAUAAUUGUAUUUAAUAAAAAUAAAGGUUAAAUAAUAUUCCUUAAUUUUAUCAAAAUUGCAAAUAAUUUUGAACAAAAUAACUUCAAAGAGACAACAUAAAAAUUAAUGGAGAAAAUAUAUAAAAAAAUAAUAAUAAUCUCCUGUCUAUGUUCUUAAUGUCCUUACGCGAAGUUGACUUGGACUGAUUCUUUCUUUUGGAUUCAACCAAUUAUAAGAUGACAUAGACCGUAACUAUUUUUGUCUUAAUUUGCAAAAUCAUUUUUGUUUCAUAUUAUUGACUCCACAAUUUCGUCGCAGACGCGUUUUCAUUCAUUUUUAUUGACUCUAUCAUAUUAUAUUUAUAUUUAUAAAUAUAUUGUUCGACUUAUAAGACCAUCGAAAUAUUUACGCUCACCAACAGAUCGAAAGAGAAUUUUUUUUUUUAUUGCAAAAGAGAUUUAAAAGAAUAAAAUAACACAAUGAAUUAUAUAAUACAGAAUAUUUCUCAUUAGCUCGUUAAAUAAGUAAAAAUUUUUGUGACGCAAAGGACUCGUAUUUGAAGCCCCACUGGAUUAUCUAUCAAUGGCAAAAGUAGGAAGUGGCCUUGUGAAUGCAUGGACUGGCUUUAGAAACUUCUAUUUUUAUUUGCUGAUUUCUUCACCCUUGCCGUAUGGUUCGGGCGGAAAAUGAUUUUGGUCUUUCAACGAAAGAUUUUGAGUAAUCCAUGCAUUUAAUUUAUUCUUUUUUAUUUUUUUGGCAUAAUAAAAAGACAUAUAAAAUUUACGAAAUGUUGAAAAUCUCUCAUGAAUUAUGACUCUUCAGAAUUUAAAAUUUCAUAUGGAAGAUAAGACUUUGUCAAAUCUCUUAUUUAAAUGAAUAAAUUUUUUUUUAAAAUUUAUUGAUUUACAAAAAUAUCAUUAUACUCGUAAAUUUAUUAACACUUAUAUCAAACAAUAUAAUUAAGUUUUACAAAUUUAUAGAAUUUUAGUAGUUCAAAAGAAAUAUAAACCUUCUCUGAGUUAAAAUUAUUCAAUUUCAAUAGAAAAAUGAAUUAUGUUAUCGCAAUAGCAAUUUUUAUUUCAACAAUCUCAUUACCUUUAAUAAAUUUCAUAAUUUUUAAAAUUUUUAAUCCAAAACACUAUUUUUGAUAUUCUACAUUGAUUGGAAAUUAAAAAAUAUAAGUAAUGGAAUAUCACAUUAGAUGACAGAAGAAUUGACUUAUGUUAAAAUUUCAUAUCUGUAAACAGCAUAUAAGUGAUGGAAACCAACUAUCCAAUUGGUUACUGACUAGCCAUUUUGAUAAUGACUGAAUUUGGUCACAAACGCAAGUUUAAUUCUACACACUCAAACCCCAUUGUCUUAUGCCAAUUCCUUUUUAUUAGUUAAAAAUUAUAACAAUUGCCUCUAUAGGAAAGUAAAUUUGUUAGCAACCUUGUAAAAUAUUGUAUGCCACGGAACAUAAUAUAAUAAGUGUAGUUCUCUCUUUAUUUAAUAAAUUAAUAAAAAUUCUUUAAAUUGAGAUGACUCGAAUUUAUAAUCUUUUACUUCCAACAUCAGUGAAAAUACCAUCAUACCUUCAUAGCAUUAAUGAAUAGUUAAUAAAGAGUCAAAAAGUAUAAAUUUGUCUUUGAAAUUUACGCUAUUUACCUUGUGACACCUUUAAAUUUGCGAGAACCUAUCAUGCUUAUGAAAUUGGAUAUUUUAAUAGCAAUCAUACACAUUGUCCGAGUAAAAAAAAAAAAAAAAAAAAAAAAACCAUUCAUACUCUUAUUUGUCUAAAUUGUUUUUGUUAGAUCGGCAAGUUGGUGGGUUUGGACAUUGGUUUUCUAACUUGCGGUUAAGUGCAAACAAAGAUGAGAAAACGAUUGAUGGGUUGUCUUUCACAACAUUAACGUGUUGGAUGUGAUAUUUGCAAUAUCUAUCACGUCUUCCUUUAUUUGGAAAUUUUUACUUUUGACUUCGAACAAAGAGUUCAGAAACAGUAAAUCAAUAACAACAUUUAAUGGAUCUUAUAGUGUGUUGAUUGAUGAGUUUGAAUUUAAAUUUGAAAUUUGCUGAAAUUGCUAGUGGUUUUGAAUAGGACUAAGUUAAGAUUGCUUACAAAACAUUAAUGAAUAAUAUGGUGUCGUUUUAGGGAUGAGAAACAGGUUUACCUUGUCCUAGAGGAACUAAUUCUUGUUAUCCAUUUGUUAUGGCCUUUCUUUCUGUUUCCUUUAUCCAAAAUCCGUAAAAAUAAGACGAGUUUGAAAUUAAAAGAUGUUGGGCCUUUGUUUUGUGUUAUGGGCUGGUCCUCUUUAUAAUUCAAAGAUGUUUCCAUAAUUGGGCCUUUUAAGUAAUUUUCAAUUUCACUUCAAUUAAUGUAAAUAUAAAUAAGGAAAAUACUUGCAUAUGGCCUACUCAAAUUCAUUAUCAUUUUAAAAAUUGGCACUUUUUUUUAAUAAAAUUACAUUAAUAUUCUCUUCGUGUGCCAAAUUUUUUUAUUAGAUUAGCUUAGGAGUCUUCUGUUUUAACCUUAUCCAACCAUUUAUUCGUUCGAACAAUAAUAAAAUAAAUUUAUUGAAUAUUUAUCAGACUUUGCAAAUUAAAUUUUGUCUAAUUAGAAAAUUUUAUUUUUACUUUUAGAUUUAAUAAUUCAAUAAAAUGAAAAUACAAAUUUAUCUCUUAUAAUUAUAAAAAUCUUUUAAUCAUUCAGUAACAAGCUUUUGAUAUCAAAUUUUAAUUAUUAUCUUCAGUUAUAAAUUCAAAUACCUUCUCUUCCUCCUAUAUAUAUAUAUAUAUAUAUUUUUUUUUUUUUUCUUAAAAUACUAAUCCUUCAAAAAGAGUCAAGAAGUUUAGUUUUUUUUUUUUUUUUUUUGGCAAAAGAAGAGCAAAACAAAAAGCAGAAACCUAUCUAAAAAAACUAAUGCUACAAGCGUUAGUCCAAAGAAUCAAAAACAAUGAAUUAAGACUAGCUUCUCAAAUGAAUAAAGAAAAAUGGAUGACAUGCCCCAAUUUAGCCAAAUGAUUAGCCGCAGAAUUAGCUUUACGAAACACACGAUGGAUAGAACAAUUCCAAUCACGAGUCAUCAACCUCUGAAUAUUCAAAAUAAAAACAAUGAAAGGAUGAGUAAUAGAUAACCCUGAGCAAUAGAGUCAAGAAGUUUCUUUAUUUCAAUAUGGAUUCGUCUACUUUUUUAAACAUGGAAUAAGACCUCUCAACUACAAAAGAAAGGAAUCAACAUUACAUGUGAAAAGAAAGAAUAAAGAAUGUUCUUUUAGGCUUCAUUUGCUUCCAAGAAAUUAUUUUCUUUUGAUUUUUUUUAUAUAUUUAGAGUAUUUAAGAAAAUCAGUGGAUUAUUAUUGAAAAACAUUCUAUUUUUUAAGAGAGAAAAAUAUUUUCAAUUUUGAUAAACUUAUUAUAAAAAAAAACUCAUAAAUACACACCAAUUGAUCCAACCACCGGUCACAACUAGCAUCAUGAUUAAUAAAUUUUCUAUAUUUUUUUUCUAAUAAAUAAAGUUUGAUGAAAAUGAAACUUGAAAUUUAAUAUCAUAACAUUUUAAAGAAACGAGAGUAUGAAUAAGAUCACAAUUAAUUGAUAAAAAAUAUUUAAUUUUACAAAAUAAAUUAAAAAGAAAAAAAGUUGAAUGGCACAAGCAAUCACAAACCACAAGAAAUGGUUACUAAAUGAUUGACAUAUUUUAAGAUUUUCUUUGAAGUGUUUCAUACUUCAGCAAACCAAUCUUAGAAUCUGCAAUAUUAUAGGCCAGGAAUCAGUCUAACAAGCAAGAUGUUACGACUUAUUAAAUAUAGUAAUAUAAGAUUUCAUUUAGUGAGCCAUAACAUAAUAUAAUUAAAAAUAAAUAAAUAAAUAUACAUAAUAAACAUAUAUUAAAAAUAUUUUUAAUUAUAUUAUAUUAUAUUUUAUUACUGUUUACAAACAAAAGUAAAUUUUUUAAAUUAUGUAAAAUUAUAUUUAGUAAUAAAACAUUUAUAUUGAUAAUAAAAAAAAUCAUACUAUUAUUCAAUUAACAAUGAAAUUAUUAACAUUGCUUGUCACUAUUUCAUUUACCAAAUCUCCUAAAUUAUUGUUAUGACUAUUUAUUGAAAACACCAUAAAAUAAUUAUUGCACCAUUGCCAAGAUAUUACAAUUUCUCUCCUUUUCUUUUGAAUCUCAAAAUUAGUGUCAUUUGUAGUUGAAAGUGACAUAUAAGUAUUUACUUUCCUGCCACUAUUUGAAACCAUUAAACUCAAUCAUAAGCCACCAUUGUCUUUCACAUGAUCACACCUCUUUCUUUCAGCUACCAAAUUGGAUAAUAAUGAAUUAAAAUUAUCCCAAGUUGCAUUUUAUAUUUUAAUACAUUAAAUAAAAAACAUUAUAGGGUUAUUCCAAUGAGCAAAAAUGAAAAUGUUCCUUUUUUUAUAUUACUUAGGGAAGAAACUUAAUGUUGAUUAUAAAUUAAAAAAGAGCUUUAUCAAUUUAAAUGAUUGAAAUAAGAUACUAUAAGUAUGACUAUAAAAUAUAUGUAAUAUUUUAUAAAUAUAAGUAUGACUAUAAAAUUACUUGGAAAGCACGUUUAAUAGCCUGCAACUUUUAAAGCAGUAUUUAGUAUUUUGAUAGAGCUAAAAUACUAUCUUAAUUAAUUUUAGUAUUCGGUAAUACAAUAUAUGUCUUUAGUGUUUAGAGGUUGAGACACUGUUUCAUUAAAUUUUAUCUUCAUUAAUUUUAUAUUUAUUACAUUUAUAUUCAUUACUUGUUUUUAACUUGUUACUUGAGUUUAUACUUUUUUUCUCGUUUAUAUUAAACAGCUAAUCAAACAGUUAUAUUUGCACCGAAUAUUUUUUUUCUAAAUCGCUAUAUGAUCAAGUAACCACUAACAGUAAAUAUUUAACAGUUAACUACCGGUAAAACAAUCGAUAGUUAUUAAAAUAGCUAAAAAUUAGAAUAGCUAGAAUUAUCGAAUACCCCGAGUAAAAAAAAAAAAAUAAUAAACCGGGAACAAUUUUAGAAAAAUUUUAUUUGUUAAACCAAUGGUUUGUGCGACUAAUCAAGUUAAAUUACAAAAAAAUUGAAUAAAUAAUAGCAAAAUAGGGAAUUGGGAUUAUUUGAGGACUAAGCAACUUAUUAAUGUUGCUUUUGGUUCUGAUCAUUGCUCCUAAUUCCGCAAAAUUAACAGCCUCGAUUGCGGCAACUUUGCCCUUUCAGGUAGGUGGACCCCGUAUCUUGAUAAGAUUUGCAAUGAUACGCUCAUAACUAGCGCGUGAUUAACAAACUCAAACGGCCAAGUCACCGCUGAAGAUGCCACGCAACUACGCAAGGAAGACGAAGCUGGGUCAAGAAAGGCGUGCUUUCUACGGACCGUACGCUGCAUUAGAUAUGAAAAUGAAAAGCGAAGAAGAAACAUCAGAGCCUGCCACCUGCAGCUACACUGGAACAUCCUUUGUCCACAUUUAUUUUUUUAAAAACAUACUAGUAAAAAAAGCAUAUUGUUUGUUAGUCUUCCUGUCUCUCGAGAAAAAUGUAAAAAAAAACAGAGGUCUCUUGAUCAGUAACAGUAAAAUUAAGAGUUAAAAAUAUUAAAUAUAUAUGAAAAAACUUAUAUUAAAUAUAAAUCUGUUAUUAGUUUCAUUCGAAUUACUAUAAUGACAAAUCUUUAUAUUAAAAACUUAAUGACAUCAGCAACAUCUAAGCUAAUUUUUUUUUAAGGGCAUUAGAGUCUUUCAGCUAUAUUGAACAUUUUCCGAAAAUUGAAUGCUCCAAGUAUUGCGGCUUCUCUUUAAAUAUUAUAAAAAUUUGAUUUAUGUGGUACCUUUCAUGCUAAGAAAGCAAAAAGAGCGCGGAUAGGGAAAUUAUUAAAGAUAAGGUAUUUUGAUUCAACAAUCAAAUUCACACUAAACAAAUUUUAAAGGGUAUUUUCGACUUUCUAUUCUCAUGCUUAAUUAAUGAUAUUAAUUAAACCAAAUAGUUUGCUUAAUCCAAUUUGGAACUUCUGUUUAUUACUUAUUCACCACCUCGCUCUCUCUCUCUCUUUCGUAUCCUUUCUGUCUUGUCCUUUGUGUGUCACAGUUCACUUCUCUCUCUUUCUUUCUCUUUGCUCAAUGCAUAAAAGAACGAACCACCGUCACCACCACUACUCCGAUCUCUUUCUUUAGAGCAAACUACUUAUUCAACAACCAAAAAUGCGGGCUUCAUUGCCCUUCUUGAUUCUAGCAGUGCUAGUGUCUGUGUCGGUGGUUAACUGUGCCAGUGUUCUUCCUUUGGAAAGAAUUUUUCCUUUGAACCAUCCGGUCGAACUCGACCAACUCAGGGCUCGCGACCGGGUCAGACACUCCCGUCUCUUGCAAGGUUUUGUUGGUGGCGUUGUCGACUUCCCAGUUGAAGGCUCUCCCGAUCCAUAUCUUGCUGGGUAAUUUUAUCUUAUUUGAUUAAUUUCUUCGUUGGUUUUUUUCAACUUUUUUGAGCUUUCUUUAAUGGUUUGGAUUUUAGUCAAGUUUCUUUUUCAUUUUUUUUUUUUUUGCCUUUUCUGUUUAAUUUUUAUCAGCCUGUUAUCAUUUAAUGCUAUUUGAUGAAUUUGCAUUGAUGGUUCUGUUUGGAAAUUGUUAACUUCGACUCAGGUUUUUGUUUUCCUUUGCUGGGUUAGCAUUUAUUGAACAUCAUUUUCUAUUUACGCAUUACGUAUAGACAUGCCUAACCUUCAAAAUGGUAUGGGUAUUGUUUGUAAUUUUGCACAUUUAUAAUCAAAGGUAGAGUAAAAGCUGAGAAAAAGGAAAUGGAUUUUGGUUCUUAUUGGCUUGAGUAGGCAAAGAUGGAUUCUUUACUUUCUUAACAGUUUCUUUGUAAUAAAAAUAGUAAUGUCUUUGUGAAUUCAAUGAGUUUGGUAUCAUAGAAUUUAUUGUGAUUUUUAUGAUCUGAAAUUGAUUGGUUUUGAUGUUAUUUGUAUCGUUAUUGACUAAUUUUGUUUUCGCUGUUCUUUCUUGCGGUGCCCUUUUCACUCAGGGUCAAUGGAUCUUCAAAUCCCUUGUAAUAUAUCUGUCUUGGUUCUCCUCUGUUUUUGUGCUGUUUGACGCUCUCUGUAGGAUGAGACUGGUUACUUUUGUUUUUUUUUUUUUUUUUAGUGCUUAAUUGUUGUGAUAGACCAUAUUCAUCAAUUCUUUUUUUUUUUUUUUUUUGGUUUGUUUAGACUCUAUUUCACAAAAGUGAAGCUGGGCUCUCCUCCAAGAGAAUUCAAUGUCCAGAUUGAUACAGGAAGUGAUGUCUUAUGGGUCAGCUGCAGUUCCUGCAGUAAUUGCCCUCAAUCUAGUGGUCUUGGAGUAAAUCUUUUUCCUUUACGUUCUUAUUAGCUCUUGUACCUGAUGGAAUUCUUGUAGACUAAGAAACUCAUGUACAACUUUCGUACUCUGCAUUUAACAGGUUCAGCUCAAUUACUAUGAUGCUGCUAGCUCAACAACUGCUUUGCCAGUCCCAUGUUCACACCCUAUUUGUACUUCAGAAAUGCAAACGACAGCAACUCAAUGCUCUCCGCAGAGUAAUCAGUGCAGUUACUCAUUUCAAUAUGGAGAUGGAAGUGGGACGACAGGCUACUAUGUAUCUGAUACAUUUUAUUUUGAUGCUGUUUUGGGAGAGUCUUUGAUUGCUAACUCUUCAGCAGCUAUUGUCUUUGGGUAAUAUUUUCUAACUCGUACAAGAGUUGGAGCUGCAAUUAAAGGGAUUAGUAAUCAUUUCUACAUUUCACUUUAUUAUUUAAUAAAGUAGAUCAUAAGGAGAUAGCAUAGAAUUGAUAUGUUAAUUUAGUUGCAUCAAUGGACUUCAUAAUAAGCCAUGGUAUUAACCAACAAUGUGAGUAGCAAUUUCAGCACUAAAUGACCGUCUUUUUCACAUGAUCCAUUACAAUGUUAUAACAUGCCACCUAACUUUUAUCUUAUGUUUCUCUUAGAUUAUGUUGGACAGAUUUUUUUUUUUUUUCAAUUUUUUGUUACUUUUAAUCUUAUUGUUCUGGAUGAUGGUGCUGGAAACAGAUGUAGCACCUUCCAAUCUGGGGAUUUGACUAAGACGGAUAAAGCAGUUGAUGGAAUAUUUGGGUUUGGCCAAGGUGAUCUCUCUGUCAUAUCACAGUUGUCAUCCCAUGUGAUAACACCCAGAGUGUUUUCUCACUGCUUGAAAGGACAGGGGGGCGGUGGUGGCAUUUUGGUUCUUGGUGAGAUUUUGGAGCCGGGCAUAGUUUAUAGUCCCCUCGUGCCAUCACAGUAUGUUCCUCAUAACUUUUCUACCAGCCUGCUUUGCUUUAUUCUUUGCUUCCAAAUAUGAUCUUAUUUUUGUGAAGCAUUCAAUUCUCACAUUAUCUGCACUUGGGGUUGCAUUCAUGCUUUCAUGAUUGAUAUGUCAUCUCCUUAUGCCUGUUUCAUGCGAUAGGCCAGAUUUGGACUUGAGAGACUCAUAACCACUACCCAGCUCUUUACCACGCAAGUUGUUCCUCAUUCAUUCAAACCUAUUAUUCUGACAGUCACAAGGUGGAAUUACACUAUACUGCCUCUUUUGUUUUGGCAACUUUAAAGCCUUCUCUUGGUUGUUUCAUUUUGGCGGAUUUAACUUUUCUUUAGCUCAUUGAAUUUUGCAAGGACCUUGAGAAAGGAAUAUUAUUUCUCAUGUUUUAAGGUCAUAUCCACCAUAGAGAAGACUUUCUUCUGUGUCAGUUAACUUGUAUAAUGUUUUAUUUUUGGUUGGGAUGCAUUGAAUUUAAGAAAAGGGUACUGAAGCCCUUAUAUUUGGUUGUGGACAUGAGAUGCCCAUUUGUUAUAGAACUAAAUCAUAUAGAUAAUGUUGGAUAGCAGCCUCGGUGUUGAAAGUUGUAUUAGAGAUAAUUUUCAACACUCAAGUGAUGGAAUUAUGUAGUUGAAUACCACAUUGGGGCUUUUCAUUUCUGUGGCACAUUCUCUACUUUAUGAGGGUAUCCUUACUUCUUCAUAUAAGCUUGCCAAUUCUUUGGUUUUUUUUUAAGUGCUAGCAUAACUCUGAAUAUUUUCAAUGUAUCAUUUUGUUUUUCACUUUUCUAGCACUUGUAUUCUUCUUGAUUUGCAAUGCUUCAGUUACAAUUAGAAAAUGUGAAUAUUAGUUUUACAGUAAUUUAACUGCUUUCUCAAAAUCUUCAGGCCUCAUUAUAAUUUAAAUCUGCUGAGCAUUGCUGUCAACGGACAAUUGUUACCAAUUGAUCCAGCAGCAUUUGCAACAUCAAAUAAUCGAGGAACUAUUGUUGACUCUGGAACAACUUUGACAUACCUUGUGGAAGAAGCUUAUGAUCCUUUUGUCAGUGCUGUAAGUAAUUUGCUUUUAAUGUGCUUACAAGUUAAUUGAUUAAGGGAAUUAGAUCAAGGUCUACCAUUUUGAACGAAAGCUCUGAGUUACAAUAAGCAGUACUGCAUAAUAUUGUACUUUUCCAUGUUGAUGGGUUAACUCUUUAGAUGAAUGGAAAAUGCUGAAACAAGGCUGUCAUUUAUGAUGAGGUCCAGCCGUCCAGGUUUACAGUUAUUCUGUCAAAAGAUUCAAGCUGUGUGGAUAGACAAUAGUAGAUUAAUUAGCAGAUAUUUUUUUCAAAUGGCUUUCAUCUUGCUGUGUUUGUGAAGUCUAUUUUGCUUUUUGUGUUCGCAGAUAACUGCUGUGGUCUCACCAUCUGCAGUUCCCACAAAAUAUAAAGGAAAUCAAUGUUAUCUAGUCUCCACCAGGUUCAUUUAUCUAUCUUAUUUCAAGUAACUAUACGUAGUUAUGCUUGACAGAAGAAAGGUUUUCUGAUCCUAAGGCUCCCCCCAAAUUCUUCCCCUGGAGAACUAAAUAGAACUUAUAUUAUUUCCUGUGCAGUGUAUCUCAAGUAUUUCCUCCCGUUAGUUUCAAUUUUGCUGGCGGUGCAUCUAUGUUGUUGAAACCGGAAGAGUAUCUUAUUAGUCUUGGUUCCUAUGUAAGUUGUUCCGCUUUUCAUCUUUUUAUUAUUCAUUUUCUCCAACUAUUGAAUUAGAAAUGCUUUUAUUGCUUGCUAUAUUAAUUUCAUUUCAGGAGCAUAAUAGAUCACAAUUUUGUUGUAGCAGGCUGGUGCUGCAAUAUGGUGCAUUGGUUUUCAGAAGAUUCAAGGAGGAAUAACAAUUUUAGGAGGUUAGAUACUGGAUCUGGACUUCUAUCUAUGACCGAAGUGUACUAAAACAGGUUGGGGCUAGAUUCAAUUGGCUCCAAACCCAGAAUAGUAAUAUUCCGACAGCAAUAUAUAGCAUGUGACAGAGUAGUAAUGUUUCAACAGUUUGAUAAUUUCAUUUCUUGCAGUUGCAACAUACUUAUGUUCUUUUCCAUUAUUGAAUCACAUAUCUUUUCCUAAGUAAGUUGCAGGAAGAAGCUCAUUCACUUGCAGCUUUUGUUUACAAGCAAAAAAAAUGAAAUAUAAUUAUACAUUUCAAAAUGCCAUUAUUCAUAUCUUUUAACUUCUAAAUUGUUUCAAGUAUAAUUAUCUUGUUGGUUUCUUCAAUUUGCAGAUCUUGUCCUAAAAGAUAAAAUUUUUGUGUAUGAUAUAGCUCAUCAACGGAUUGGAUGGACUAACUAUGACUGUAAGUACACCUAUACCUUUCUGUCUGUGGUGUAUGAAUCCUUGCCUAUCCCCCUAUCAGCAUGUACCUCUGAUAUUUUUUAUUCUCAUCUGUCAGGUUCAUUAUCUGUGAAUGUCUCUGUACCUUCUAGCAAGGACUUCAUCAAUGCAGGACAACUGAAUGCGAGCAACUCGGCAAGGGACAUGCUCUUGAAGCUGAUACCUCUGGCCAUUAUGGCUCUCCUAAUGCACAUAUUAGCAUUAGUGGAUUUCCAAUUUUUGUAAUUUAAGCCGCAGGUUUGAAGUUCUAUUCUUUAUGGUAUUGGAAUUAUUGGCCUAGCUGGCUUUUAUUUAGCGGUCGGCUAUGCAUGUGGAUUUACUUGGAUUACACUUGUAGCUGUUCAGGCGUCUAUUCUUCAAAUGGGGGAAUUCAGCUUUUUUCUUGUAAAGGGAAGGCUGCUGGAAUUGUAAAUUAUUGAUAUCUGUGAUAUUGGGUUGGGUGCUGUAGUAUUAUGUUGUUGUUAAGUAGAACAAAACAUUUUGUCCCAGGAGAAAACAAGUCUUCUAUGGUGACAACUUUUGGGAUAGAUAGAGAUAUAUAGAAAUGAUAGUGUCCAUGCUAGUAUGUUUCUUUUCUUAUUUGCUGCUUCUUUGUUACUUCUUGGAUAACUUUAGAAGUGUUAAUAGCUGUAUGACUUCUGUUGAGGAUUGUAAUACCUUUUUUCUCUGAUUAGUGAUUCCUAAAUGAAAUGCACAAAAGUUGUGAAUCUAUCAUAUUUUGCUUUUUAGCUUUUAGUGAGUUAAAAGCCAUUAUGUUGUUGUAUUUGAUGAUGGAAGUGAUCAUAUUGUAUGGAUCAAAUCAAAAGGAGCUACGAGAGAUGCAACAUGGACACUCAAAAAGGACUUUUCCUGCUUCGAGGAUCAUUAUCUUUUGUUGUUUAGGUUAAGGAUUGUCAAUUUUAUGCUUUGUCGUAGUGAUAUUAAAUGAUUUUCUUCUUCAAAAAAUUCCAUAAGAAAGUAUUUUAAAAUUUUUCCAAGACCUAUAUUUUGUUUUGUGUUGGCAUUAAUUUGACCAGAGCAGAUUGAGAACAAGGGAUUUCAUAUAGUUGCUUCCAAUUCGUUUAGAAUAGGAUCACAUUUCUAAAUUGGGGUAUGUGAGGUCUACAUAAUAUACGACCGUACCAUUUUAGACAUUUUUCUCUCGAUUUAUCUCUAAUUUUUGUUACUUGCACCUUUUGUCUAAUGCGAUCAUUUCUAAUCUUGUUCAUCUCUUCACAUACCCAUCUUAGCAUUCGGCAUUUGCAUCCGCAUCUUCGCUACAUUCAUCUUGUUAACGUGUUGGGUAUUCAAUACCUAACAUUCACUUCCAUAUAGUAUUGCGGGUUUCACCACUCUUCUACAACUUUUGUAUUAUUUAUAGAGACUUAAUAUAUUAUUUCACUCCCAACUUUAGGUUUUAUUGCAAUUUCACUCCGAUUUAAGCAUUAUAUCAAUUUUACCAUGAACUGACUUUUUUUUUUACAAUAGCACUCUAAAUUAUAAUUAGAACUUAAAUUGUGGUAACUCAUAAAUUAUAAUAGACUUAUUUACCUUUAUUACUUUAUUACUGUGGUAACUCAUAAAUUUUACUAUCAAGCUCGCUUGUGGUUUCAUUAGCCCACUGGCUUGCGAGCCUCAUUUCAAAAUUCAAAAUUUGACUUAUUUAAAUUGACUUGGCCCAGCAGCUCAUUAGGUUGUUAAAUAAAUUAGAAUGUGUUUUAUCUAAGCCCACUUUCAAAUAGUGGUAAGUUUCAAAUUCAAGUCUUUGUCCAUAUUUUUUUUUAUUUCUAUUUAAUUAUGUAUUGACCACAUUUUCUUUAAAUUACAUAGUCAGGACAAUAAAUUUUUCUAUAUAAAAAAACCUGUUACAUCUUAAAGGGAAAGGAUGAAAAAAAUUAACCAAAUUGGUAAUAUAAAUUUGGUGUUUUGUCUUUCCAAUUAGUAUGUGAAUUAAUUAGCAACUAAUUAACGUACGAAUCCAUCACCAAGUCCAAUUGUGGAAGGAAAUUUUCAAAAGAAUUAAUUAGCAACCUAAAUAACGUUUGUGGAUGGAUAUUGCCAGUAGGAUUCUUGCUGUUCUUGCACUCUUGUUUGGUUCAUCCUAGAAUUGAAAAUGGAAUCCAAUUUUUAAAGUAAAAAUGGAAUUCUCUCUAUUACAAUUAUUUUUUUCAAAUUAAAGAGUCAAGAUGAAUAAUACUCCUAUUAUGUAGUCUGCAGAAUUAUUUUGACCAAUUGGUCAUUCAAUGAAUUAAUGAGAUAUACUCAACUUUUGAUAAUUAGACCGCGUAUUGUUCAGGUUAUAGUUCAUCUGUAAUAGCUAGUUAGCAAACAGUAUCAAUUACUAUGGUAAUAUUUUUUUACUUUGUGGAGAAAUGAUAAUACUAUUAUUAUUAAUAUUAAUUAUUAAUUAUUAUUAUUAUCAUAUUAUUAUUAGAAUGCAAAAAUCAUUGGUACAUAAAAGGACACGUUUCCGCUAAACGAGGCGAGUAGUUUGGUUGAAGUCUGGCUAUAAAAUAUGCCGAUAAAUACUGUAAGACUAGUGUGUGAAAGUUUUUCUGGUACAACUUCGACGCAGUCUUUCAGCCCUUAUAUCAGGGCCCCACUUGUCAUUCUAAUUCUAUUUGAACGUUUUCUUUCGCACGUGUGUAUUUUUCUUUUUCAUUCGCAAAAUAGGUACGUGUCACCUUAGCAGGCAAAGGCUUUUUUUUUUUUUUUUUAAAGAGUUAAUUUAAGUUUUAACCAUUUACCGGUUCAUCAAUUGCUAGCCGGUUGCAUAUAUUUCCUUAGAGAGAAAAGGUAUAUAUUUAUAAGGUGUCAAGCUUGAUGCUUUUGUGCCUCUUCCAUGUUUAAUGUAGUGUCACUAUAUUUAGUCAUUAGUGGGCCUCUAUUCAUGUUUUUUCUAGUUUAAAUAUUUCCUCCGACUGGUUCUUUGAUAUAUAUAUUUUUUUUCAUUUUCUUUGAAAUCUAAUAAAAUUAAAUUUCACAAAAUCAAUUUAUGGAUGAAAAAGAUUAAUGUAUGUAGCUCAUCAUAUGAAGCCAUUAGUUUCUAAUACUUGAAUUAAUUUUUUAAAAAAAUAAUCAUGAUUUUUUUAUCAAAUUAAUGUAAACAAAUAUAUUCUUUAAGUAACUUAAUUAAUUUUGGUAUACAUAAAAUGAAUUUUUUUAGACAAUAUACCUAAAAUGAUCUAAUUAUACAUCAAAAGAUUACUAUGGUAGACUAAUGGUCAUAGACUCAAAGUAUGCUUAAACGUAAGAAAGCAAAUUAUUUAUUAUCAAACGGAUGUAGAUUGAUUUUACCUUUUGACUUAUAAGUUCAGAAAUUAAUUUUACUUGAAUAUUAUCUGGGCCGAGUGCAAUAUGAACGAAAAAAAUCCCAUUUAUACAUAAUUCUUAGUACAAAUAUAUUUUAGAAUUAAAAGAAAAUACCUUUACAAAAUCAAGAUAGCAAUAUUAAUUAUUUCAUUCUCAUUUCACCCUUAUUUAUUUUAUUUUCUUUUGAUAAAUUACUAGUAUUUUUUUUUUUUUUUGUAUGGAGUUGAGGUGGUUGAAUUAUUUUAGGAGGGAGAGGAAGUAAUAUUUUUUUCAGAAAGGAAACUGAAGUAGUAAAAGGUCACUCCUGUGUUUUUCGUUUCAACUGGAAGUUAUAACGACACGCUGGAAAUGCGCGUGAUAGUUUCUCAAGCUUGAAAAGCAUCCUAGCAGCAAACGGCCCAACCUCCCGCGCCCAUGCAAAAUCCCCACACGCCACACCAGAACACACAACGCCACACUACACACCACCAUCUCUCUCUCUCUCUCUCGUAUCUCAUUCUCUCUAUCUUUCUGUAAUCUCUCGAAAGGAACAAUUUCCUUUCUUUCCAUUUCCUUUUCCCUAUCUCCUUUUCCUUCCUCUCAUUAAUCACUCGUCAUUUCUCUCUCUCUCUCUCGUCCUUUUAUAACCCCAAAAGCACUAACAAACAACAGAAACAGAAACGCCACUCUCUCUCACUAUUUUCUCUCUUCAUCGGUCUCUAGACUCUUUACGUUCACUCUGUUGUUUUUCUCUUGCGUUUUUUAUUUGUUAUUUUGGAAUUUCGGUAACUGCAUUUUGUUGAACCGGAAACUGUACUAAUGGCGGUUCCUUCGACGGUCUCGGCGGCCGGUACGGCGUCGCUGUACGUUGGGGACCUGCACCCUGAGGUCACUGAUGGCGUGCUUUUUGAUGCAUUCUCUGAGUUCAAGAGCCUUAUUUCCGUUCGCAUAUGUAGAGACUUGUCUACUGGCAGGUCUCUCUGUUAUGGUUACAUCAACUUUAUCUCUCCACAAGAGGGUAAUAUAUCUCUGUCCUUGUAUAUGCAAUGCUUAUUAUCAUUAUCAUUAUUAUUAUUAUUAUUUCUUUUAGAAGUAAUGUGAUUGAUUUGUGAUUGUUGUUGUUUUUGUGGCUUUUGGAAUUUUCUGUUCGGUUCACUGGAAUGGAAUUGGAAAAUGCUAAGUUAUUUGAGCUCGGAUUUUGUGGUUUUGAGAUUUCUGUUUGUUUGAUUGUUUUUUGACUUCUAAAAUGUAGGAGGAACAGGAAUUAGAGGUUUUAGGCUUUAUUAGAUUUUUUUUUCUCAAUUGUGAAUUGUUCAUUUGAUUUAUUCUUUGUUUGAAUUUUGGCUUUUUGCAAGUGUGUAAGUUAUGUGCCUGUUCAGAAAAAUUUUGGAGAGGAACUUAGUUAUAAGCUAAUUUUAUUUCUUAUCUAUUAAUUUUUCGAAAUUUGUUUCUGAGAUUUAUCAUCCAUAUGUCUCUGUUUGAUUGUUGGAAUUUCUAGAAGUGGUAAAAGUUCAUUGAAAAAGAAAAGGACUAUCGCUACAUUGAACUUUGUACUACCAUAUAUUAACAAUUAAAUUAGCUUGGUUCGUUAAGUUGAAUAAAAUGUUUAGUGCUAGAAAUAUGUCAUAUGUGGAGGACUUUGGAACUUGUGGAUGAUAGAAUAUUGCUGAUGUAUUUUUGUUUUUAUGUUUUUAUUUUAUGGCCUUCAUCAUGGAUAUUCUCUGCUGAUUUUGUUUAAGCCAGUAAAGCGAAAUUGCAUUUCUAGUAUUGGUAGAUAUAUUAUGAAGAACUAAUCAUAACCUUUGCUGAUGCAGAAGUAUUAGGUUGUUUGUCUAUUAAAAUGUUGUUUAUUUAUGAAGAUAUGUACUGUAAUGUAGGUGUUUAUUGCUUUCUCUGCAGCUGUACCUUUUCUCAUCUGUUUUAGUAAUAUUAUAUAUUAUAUAUUUUAAGGCAUCAUUCAUAAUGAAGUUUUCUGACAAGUAUGAUGAAGAGGAGAAAGUUUCAUAUCUAUGUUUCAUCCGUCUUAACUUAGAAGGAAAUAUUUUGAAUUUGUUUAAAUUGUUCUUAUUUAAUAUUGCUUUCUCUGAUUUGAGUAGCUAUCUGGGCUAUUGAGACAAAGAAUCACACUCCCUUGCUUGGAAAGUUGAUGAGAGUCAUGUGGUCACACCGUGAUCCUGAUGCAAGAAAAAGUGGAAUAGGAAAUGUGUUUGUUAAGGUAUCUCUCUUUUUCUUUAUUGAAGGUACUUGGAACUGAGCUACUACUCCAAGGUUCCUCCUUUUCCUAGUGUAAUUUUGAACAGAAACUAAUUGUUUGGUUUAUACUACAGAAUUUGAGCGAGACAAUUGAUAAUGUGGGGCUUCAGGAUUUAUUUCGUAAAUUUGGGACUAUAUUAUCUUGCAAAGUUGCCACGUUUGAGGAUGGAAAGAGUAAAGGCCAUGGCUUUGUUCAGUUUGAUUCAGAGGAUUCCGCAAAUUCUGCUAUUGAGGAGCUAAAUGGUUCCAUUGUUGGUGAUAAGCAGAUGUAAGUGCUCCUCUUUUCUGUGUGCCAGGUCCAAGGAUUAUUUUCCUAUUAGUUUCAUUGUGGUUUGAAUCAUGGUGCAGAUAUGUUGGAAAGUUUGUUAAGAAGAGUGAUAGAGUUUUGCCUAGCCCUGAUGCUAAAUAUACAAAUUUAUAUGUGAAAAACUUGGAUACUGAAAUAACGGAAGAGGUUCUGCUGGAGAAGUUCUCGGAAUUUGGGCAAAUAGUUAGCCUGGUGAUUGUAAAGGAUGAAACUGGAGGCUCAAGAGGUUUUGGCUUUGUCAAUUUUGAUAACCCAGAUGAUGCCAAACACGCUAUGGAAAAAAUGAAUGGAACAGAACUAGGUAUGUUGCUUUGACCUUAAUUGAGAAUAUGGAACAAUUUCACAAUAUUGAAAGAUCUUUUGCUUGAGUUGGUAGACAGUUGUCUAUAUGUUCUUUUGAUCUGGUUUUUUGCUUAUGUGCGUUUUUUCAAUACUUCAAUGUUGGGAUUAGUUACUAAUUCUAAUUUGUAUGCCCUUUUAUGUUUCAAUGUGUCUUUUGAGUAGGUUCAAAGAUUCUUUUUGUAGGAAGAGCACAAAAGAAAGCAGAGCGUGAACAAAUUUUGCGGCGCCAGUUUGAGGAAAAGCGCAACGAGCAGAUCUUGAAAUACAAGGUAGGGCUAUGUUAUUUGUUCCUUAACCUAGGACAACUUAAAGAUUUCAACCUGAUCAUCAUAUGGUUCAAAUGUUGUGUGUGGCUAGACAGCAAUCAAAUCCUUUGUCAUGCAACAAAAUAGCUAUAAAUGAUCAACUUGGGAAGUGAUCUGAUAUUAUUAGAGAAUAAAUCUAGGUAUGAUUAAAAGUCCUAUAGGAGACUGUUAAAUGUAAUGAAGGAAAAGUAUUUAAUUUUAGAAUUAUUAUGAUAGGAUUAUUUGACAAAUCAGGAAAUCACUUGUCGGGGUUAAGUCAGCUGGAGUUGACAUCAGCUUGGAAGAAGCCAAUAUGUUAUAAGACUGAGAAGAGAAAACAUGACAGGAGUUUUACAAUCCUAUUUAUAGACUUUUACUAUUCUUGAUUUAGAAGCUUCACAAAAAACUUAUUGCAGUCAUUACAUAGCUUCAACUCAAGACAACGGUGAUCUCAAACCUAUGCAUUCCAGAUCUCUCCUAACUACUACAACACUAUUAUAGAAUAAUACGAAAAUGCAAAUUAUAGAAGUCAUGGGUGAAUAGUUGUUCUACAUGACAAAGGUUGUCUCCGUUCUUC